GAUGAACGCUGGCGGCGUGCCUAAUACAUGCAAGUCGAGCGAACGGACGCGACGCUUGCUUCUCUGAUGUUAGCGGCGGACGGGUGAGUAACACGUGGAUAACCUACCUAUCAUACUGGUAUAACUUCGGGAAACCGGAGCUAAUACCGGAUAAUAUUUUGAACCGCAUGGUUCAAAAGUGAAAGACGGUCUUGCUGUCACUUAUAGACGGAUCCGCGCUGCAUUAGCUAGUUGGUAAGGUAACGGCUUACCAAGGCAACGAUGCAUAGCCGACCUGAGAGGGUGAUCGGCGACACUGGAACUGAGACACGGUCAAGACUCCUACGGGAGGCAGCAGUAGGGAAUGUUCCGCAAUGGGCGAAAGCCUGACGGAGCAACGCCGCGUGAGUGAUGAAGGUCUUCGGAUCGUAAAACUCUGUUAUUAGGGAAGAACAUAUGUGUAAGUAACUGUGCACAUCGUGACGGUACCUAAUCAGAAAGCAACGGCUAACUACGUG
This 497-nucleotide ribosomal RNA is filed under the name uncultured bacterium. Its description in RNAcentral is "partial 16S ribosomal RNA". It matches the Rfam family "Bacterial small subunit ribosomal RNA", at positions 28 to 507 of the family's 1533-position model. The record is from RNAcentral.